CAAGCGCUGUUGGAAUGCUAAUGGUUAGCUUUAGCAUGGUAUAUUAGUCUUUCAUGGUUUCCACUAACCCAAACUUUAGAAUUUCUCAUUUAGAGUGAGUCUGGCAUUUCAAAAAAUCAGCAUACAUGAAAACAAUGUCAGUUUAUGAAAAAGGAAGAAAGAAACGAAUCAGCCGUGGUUGACAUUUGAAACUCUGACUUGUCAGACGGUGAAUUAUGUUCAAGCCCUGUUAGAAGAAGCGCACAGAUGCCAGAGAAGCUGUGGGUGGAUUUCAGCCCGGGUUUUGGUGCAACUCCCCUCCGUUUUGCUAUCGAGUCCAAUACAGCGGCUGAGCGGAUGGGCUGAAGUGAAGCUGGUCGUCUCUGCUCGGCGUGAGUGAUGAGCAGUAGAAUAGACAGGCUGUCACAGCACACCUGUAGGCCUGGCAGCCGAGUCCAUCAUUGGGCUGAGCCUUCACAGAGAUUAAAAACA
Molecule: long non-coding RNA, 471 nt
Organism: Cyprinus carpio carpio
Lineage: Eukaryota; Metazoa; Chordata; Actinopteri; Cypriniformes; Cyprinidae
Source: Ensembl